UCAGGAUUGCUUUGGCAAUUCUGGGUCUAUUAUGGUUCCAUAUAAAUUUUUGGAUUAUUUGUUCUAGUUGUGAAAAAUGCUGUGGGUAAUUUGAGAGGGAUCACAUUAAAUCUGUAGACUGUCAUGGGUAAUAUGGCCAUUUUAAUAAUAUUAAUUCUUCCAAUCCAGGAGCAUGGGAUAUUUUUCCAUUUCUUUGAAUCCUCCUUAAUUUCCUUUAUUAGUAUCUUGUAGUUCUCAGUGUAUAUGUCUUUCAUCUCCAUGGUCAGGUUUAUUUCUAGGUUUUUGGUUUUUGUUGUUUUUGGUGUGAUUUUAAAAGGUAAUUUUUACAUUCCCUUUCUGGUAUUUCAUUUUUAGUAUACUGAAACACAACUGAGGAGUUCCUAUUAUGGCACAGUUGGAAACGAAUCUAACUAGGAACCAUGAGGUUACAGGUUCAAUCCCUGUCCUUGCUCAGAGGGUUAAGGAUCCAGCAUUGCUGUGAGCCAUGGUAACAGAUGCAGCUUGGAUCUGGUAUUGCUAUGGCUGUGGCUGUGGCUGGCAGCUGUAGCUCCAAUUAGACCCCUAGCCUAGGAACCUCCAUAUGCCACGGGUUUGGCUCUAAAAAGCAAAAGAAAAGAAAAGAAAUUCAACUGAUUUCUGAAUGUUAAUCUUUUAUCCUGCUACUUUGUUAAAUUUGUUUAUGAAAUUUAGUACUUUUUGUGCAGAGUCCUUAGGGUUUUCUAUGUAUAGUAUCAUGUCAUCUGCAUAUAGUGACAAUUUUACCUCUUCCAAUGUGGAUACCUUUUAUUUCUUUUUCUUGCCUGAUUGCUGUGGCUAGGACUUCCAAUACUAUGUUGAAUAAAAAUGGUGAAAGCAGGUGUGCUUGUCUUGUUCCAGAUUUUAACAAGAAAGCUUUCAGCUUUUCUCCAUUGAUUUUGCUAGGUAUUGCCAAAUUCCUUUCAGAAUUUUUAUGUCAGCUAGUGUUCCUAUUGUAAUGUAUGACAAUAAGAAAUGUUGUUAUUAUAUUUUUUAAUAUUUGCUAAUCUGAUAGAUGAGAAAUAUACCAAGCCUAUUUUUAAUUAGAAUUUAGUUGAAAAUUUAAGACUAAACUCUAAGCAUAUUAAUUUUUCGUAUAUUUGAGUCUAUAUACAUUUCAUGAAUUUUCUUUUUUAAUCUUUUCCUCUUUUUCUAUUGCUUUUCUUUAUCCUUUGUCUCUUAGUUUUUAAGAGUUCCUUACAAAUUAGGGAUAUUAGCCCUUCUUCUAUGAUAUAUGUUGCAAAUAUUGUGUCCCAGUUCAUCAGUUAUCCUUCGAUAUUGUUUAUAGGAUAUUUUUGCCAUGUGAAAUAUUUUAAUUAUGUCAUUAAAUUUAUAAAUCUUUUAUUACCUCUGGAUUUUAGGACAUAGUUAGAAAGCCUUUUCCUACCCUAAGGUUAAGGAGAAAUUCACCCAUAUUUUCUUCCAAUGCAUGUAUGGUUUUAUCUAUCAUAUCUUUACAAGAACAUUUUCAUUCAAGUGAAAUCAACUUGGAAUAAAUCAGGUUAACAGAAAGGUGGACCAUUAAGUUAGCCAUGAUAGAGAGCAAAGCUUUACCUUGAAAUAGUUAGAGGUAAAGCCAGUGCUUGUCACAGCUUAUAGGAUGGCACAGCUCUGUCUCUGCCUGCCUCUCUACCUUCAUCUCUCCACAACCAGGAUAACAUUCUCCACCAGAGCUAAGCUCUGAUAUCUCCCUGGAAAUGUACCCUAAGGCCAGAUUUAUGAUCUCUUAUUAGCAAAAACAGAGAGUGACAGCUUCCUGCAAAGGAGCAAUUCAAGUUUGUAUUCUUUGAGGUUGGAAUCUUAACCUUGGGGUGAAACAUUCAAAGGUACAUAAUAGGCGUUUCUGACUUGCUCUCAUGGUAUGUGUUGCUACGUUUGACUUAAUACUUUUUUUGUGCCCAAGAUUUUUUCCCUUUCUGGGUAAUUGGUAAAGAAAAUGAUCUUGCCUCCCAAGGAGUUUACCUCCUGUUUGGAAGAUAUUUCCACAGUUCACAGAUUCUUCUGCUCCCAAAGUAGUGUUGUAGUCUUUACCCAAAAGAGUCCCUCCACACUUGGAAAGCUUCCAAGGAUACCCCUGUGAUUUAGUGAGUGAAUGCUGCUGGAUGGCUCCAUGGACAUGAGAGAUGGUUUGGAGAGGCAAAACGAGUGUCUUUAGACUGAAAGAAGUGGGAGGAUUUUUGAUGAAAACCAAAAAUGACAAGUUACAGGUUCACACGAUAAUACAGUUUUUCUGCAAAAUGUUUCAUGCUAUGCAGCUAGCUCAAAGACUGCCCUUUGAAAAACUGAGAAUAGCUCUCAUCUCUAAACAGCUCCAUAGUGUUGGGCCAUUAUCACCCCUGAUGAGAAGACACCAUCUGCCCAAACUCACAUUGGAGGAUUCCCUCCAACAGGCAACUUACAAGUACAAUGAAUUUUUUAAUUGGAAAAUGCUGCUGUUUCAUUUUGUCUAUUUCCCACUCAUUUAUCCAAUGCCCAAGCAGCAUCUUUGUCUUAGUGAUGUUUCAUCCUGUUGUUUAUUCCACGCUGAAGUGGUAAUCUUCUCUGUGACGUCUUAACCCAUAAGUGGUUGCUAUGGAAAUGAUUAGAAUGUCACACAUAAAAGGACACCUUUGGUUGGGCAUGAUCCAGACCAUAUAAACUCUUAGAGACACUAUUUAAGGUUAAUGUUCCAAUGAGAAAUUAGGGAGAAAAUAGAUUUCUGGAAACAUAAACCUAUUGAUACAAGUAAAAUAUUUCCAGGUCAGGAAACUUGGUCAUCUCUAGUAAUUCCAGAAUGUAAACUAUAGUGGUGAAAUUUUUCACAGUAACUUGUUUUCCUUCUUCGCAUUAAUUGUUUCCUACACAGUUUUUUAAAUGUCUUUGUAAAUGGAUCUUUUCUCCAAAUCAUUCAGAUAAGUAUGUGUUACAAACAUCUGAAAGGACAAGAAUGAGCCAAAGCUGCCAAAGAAACUCUAAAAUUUCAAGCCCAUAUAAAUAAGUACAAAUGUCAUGAGCUAACUCCACCACCUACAUAUUGGAAACAGCAUUUGAAGCCACCCUCACCUGUAAACAUAUAUUUUUCUCUCUUUCAGUUUUAAAAAAGAUCAGUGUUGUUUUGCAUCGUAAGUCAUUCAAAUGCAUAUCAUUUCAGUGCCUGGAGAUGUUGGGUGUAAUUAUUCACAUUUGCAAGAAACAAGAAGACAUCUUUUGGUCAUAAAUUAGCAGUAAUGGUACAUGCAAUUUAGUACUUAUUUAUAUUAGUGCUUUUCCAAAGUGUUUAAAGACGACUUUUCAGAGCAAUUCCCUGGGAAGUAAACCUGUUCCCUAUUAAGGCAAGGGUGGCACAAGUAAUUAUAUUGAUCUCAUGCCGCACCGACCGACUCUAGCCAUUGUCCACCCUGCAGGUGGCAAAUCCACUUCAUCCCAUCCAACCACGUAUAUCCCAGGCUCCAUGUAAAAUCCACAUGUAAUGAGAAGACAAUGCAUUUUUUACUUCAAAAUAGUCAUUUAUAUCUAUGUCUGGUAUGUUCGUGGAAAUGAUUCCAUUAUCUUUUUUUUUUUCAGCAAGCAUUUGUUGAGUCCCUACUAGGAGUUGGGCCUGUUCUAGUUUGACAUUUAAUUGGCCCAUACUGCCAUUGAUUAUCUUUUUCCCUUAUGCUCUGACUCUAAGAUGAAGAUUUGUAAGUCAAAGAGAGGCUCUCUACCAAGAGGAAGGAUCUUUUCCUACCUGAAUGCAUGCUCGAUCUAAAUUGGAAGCCAAGUAGCAACCUUUCCCGCUUCCAUUUUACCACCUCUCUGAGUGUGCUGAGUUCAUGUGUGGGGUUCCUCCAACAGCACACUCAUUGCCAGACUUCUGGGAAGGCAGCAGGAGCACCAAGGCUCAGAAAAGCUACCUCAGACAUGAAGAUGGGUUUAUUCCAGUGGGAAAAGCUUCUUCCAUCCAAGAUAGACAGAAUGUGCUUGCUGUCAAAUCCGUCAUAACUAUACCAUGUAAAGCUAU
Molecule: long non-coding RNA, 3994 nt
Filed under: Sus scrofa (pig)
Lineage: Eukaryota; Metazoa; Chordata; Mammalia; Artiodactyla; Suidae
Description: lncRNA (ENSSSCG00000053230.1)
Source: RNAcentral